AUUGAACGCUGGCGGCAGGCCUAACACAUGCAAGUCGAGCGGAUGCAGAGAGCUUGCUCCUGGAUUCAGCGGCGGACUGGCGAGUAAUGCAGAGGAAUCUGCCUAGCAGCGGUGGAUAACGGCCGAAAACGGGCGCUAAUACCCCAUACGCGCUGAGGACGUAAGGGGGGGAGCUUCGGACCUUACGCUAUCACGUGAGCGAAGGUCGGAUUAGCUAGUUGGUGGGGUAAAGGCCCACCAAGGCGACGAUCCGUAGCUGGUCUGAGAGGAUGAGCAGCCACACUGGAACUGAGACACGGUCCAGACUCCUACGGGAGGCAGCAGUGGGGAAUAUUGGACAAUGGGCGAAAGCCUGAUCCAGCCAUGCCGCGUGUGUGAAGAAGGUCUUCGGAUUGUAAAGCCCUUUAGGUUGGGAGGAAGAGCAGUAAGUUAAUACCCUGCUGUUUUGACGUUACCAACAGAAUAAGCACCGGCUAACUUCGUG
This 484-nucleotide ribosomal RNA is filed under the name uncultured bacterium. Its description in RNAcentral is "partial 16S ribosomal RNA". It matches the Rfam family "Bacterial small subunit ribosomal RNA", at positions 30 to 507 of the family's 1533-position model. The record is from RNAcentral.